This 645-nucleotide unclassified non-coding RNA is filed under the name Hevea brasiliensis (rubber tree). Lineage: Eukaryota; Viridiplantae; Streptophyta; Magnoliopsida; Malpighiales; Euphorbiaceae. The record is from RNAcentral.
GAGAACCUAUGUAUAAUUAGUUUUAUCAUCUCAUACUUUGAGUUGAUAAUGAAUUGUAUUUGUACCAAAAUAGUAUGCAAUCCAAGAUACAGUAAAAAAAACCGUUAAUGCAUUUUCACAAAUAAGAGAUAAUUUGGAAUUCUUAUGUUAGGUUAGAGAUAUUAUUUGUUAAUUUAUCUUGAAGGAUGAUUCAAUGAUUUAAUAAAUAAUUAGGAGCUUUAAUGUCUAAAAUAGGUUUUCCACCUACUUUUACAUAGGUCAUGUUUGAAUUAUUAGUUUGCUCAGCUUUAAUCACGUAGCAUUAGAUUCAGAUGGGAAGAUUGUUAUAACAAUGAUAUAUUAGUUAAUGCACUAGAAUAAAACUUAAAGGCAAUCAUUUUGAACACAGAAAGAAGCAGGAUUAACCUAGUUAGAUUUUUGGUUUAUAUUGAUUGUCAGUCUGGAUUGAGAUCACGAAUUCUGUGUUCCAUUCUUUCCAUGAUAGAAAUAGGAGAUACACUUUUAUAUCUUUCAUUAAAUUUUUUAGUGACGGAAUGGUAAAUUUAUUUCUUCUUGGUCUUUGUUUGCAGCUUCAUAAUUUCUUCCAUUUCUUAUAUCUGUUCUUCUUCCUUGUUAAUAUUGGUUGUAAUUGGCAGGUCUGCAUAC